This is a long non-coding RNA of Cavia porcellus (domestic guinea pig), 1309 nucleotides long. RefSeq lists it as uncharacterized. NCBI's taxonomy places the organism in Eukaryota, Metazoa, Chordata, Mammalia, Rodentia, Caviidae. The transcript has 2 exons. The record is from RefSeq and is a predicted model, not a curated record.
UAAUAGCUAUGACAAAAAUCAUAAAGAAAUGUCACUACAAAUGACCUUGUAAAGAAAAAGCAUAUUUGCUUCACUGUAUCUUGCCAGAUAAAGUCACUGACUUCAAGAAAAUAUAGGAAUAGAAUUUACAGUGGUGGAUUAUAAACGAAGGAUAGCACCAUAUGGUGUUUGUAAUUCUAGCUCUUAUAAGAUUUAUGUGACUCUGGAUCCAAAAAAUUGUGAUUCAGAGUAAUGUGGCUUGGAGCAGGGACAGAAAACUGUGCUUGUCAUCAGCAAAUUACUCACUCCCUCAUAUACUGGCUUCACCAUCCACACAGAGAUACAGAAAGGAAAGAUAGUUAUUGAAGGAGUACAAUUGAAGACACUCUUCAUAUGGCAUCUUACCCAAGCUGCACAAUAAAUCUGGAAAGAGGAUAUUGUCACGGUUUCCCAGAUAACGAAUUAAAAUAAAGGAAGCGAAAUAGUUCAUCUAAAUUCACAUAGCUGGAGCAUGGCCAAAAAUAAAAUUUUGGUACAUUUGAAGUAAAAAUUCAUGAGUUUUCUAUUUGAUGCAGUCAUAAGGGCAGAUAUUAUUGUGACGAUUAAAUGAGGCCCUCCAAAAGACCUUGUAUAGGGUCUGACAUAUUUUAGAUGUUUCCAUGGAGAAUGACAUGCAACAUUUCAGCAAGAUAGUUUGAGUCAGAGUUGGUUUGAAUCCUAAUGCCAUAGUCUCUGAACUUUGUGACUUUGAGCAGUUUGCUUAACCUCUUGAACUUCUGUUUCUUCAUAUGUCAAAUGAGAAAAUCAAUCCAGGGAAAUUAAAAUUUAAAAAAAUUAAUAAAAAUUGAUGAGAGUAGCAGUGUCCAACCUAUCAGAACUAUUACCUUCAACUGAAGUCAAUUGGUCAUGUGUCCAAAAUUUAGAGUGAUUAUCUGGUGCUAUUCUAGCAUCAACUAUCUUUGGGUUUCUCUAUUACAUUUUACUAUUUUCAUCAUUUUAAGGUUGAUUAUGUGUUUCUUUUAAAUGUCUGUUAGAAAUACUAUAUAGUUUUUUAUAAUUUUUCUUGAUCCACAGACUUCAUAAGUGCCAUAAAGCUGGAAAAAAACCUGGAAGAGCCCAACAAACUAAAAGCAUACCAUGGCUGCUUCUUCUCUAUCAUCUCCCUUUGUCAUGCUGUUCUGCCUUGGAACCACUUGACUAUGGAUUGAAAUCUCUAGAAACUAUGAACCAAAAGAAACCUAUCCUCUUUUAAAUUGUAGUUGUCAGGUGUUGUAUCCCAAUGAUGAAAAAGUAAGACCAGCACCUGAUGCAAUAAAUAUAAAUGCAGAAA